Molecule: non-coding RNA, 73 nt
Organism: Nippostrongylus brasiliensis
Lineage: Eukaryota; Metazoa; Nematoda; Chromadorea; Rhabditida; Heligmosomidae
Source: Rfam
GAAACGGUAGCACAGUGGUUAGUGUAGUCUGCCGGAAACAGAACGACGCAGGUUCAAUUCCCGUCCGAUGUCA